This is a long non-coding RNA of Uranotaenia lowii, 692 nucleotides long. RefSeq lists it as uncharacterized. The record is from RefSeq and is a predicted model, not a curated record. NCBI's taxonomy places the organism in Eukaryota, Metazoa, Arthropoda, Insecta, Diptera, Culicidae. The transcript is spliced from 2 exons.
UUCAAAUCUGCCAAUAUGGUUAUUUUUCAAUAAUUUUUCCUGAAAGAAUUUUAACCAUUUUGGUAGUUUUCGAGUAUAAACCAGAAAAUGGUUGAAUAAUUCGAUGUUCUCUAUAUCGCCAUUUUGAAAACGGUUCAAAUUGCAGCCGGACGCCCAUAAAGCAAUUUGAUUUCUUCCGCGGAACAGCAUCCAGUUUCCCGAAAAACCGGUUCUGGGAAUCGUGGAAACUUCGGAUUUGUAGGAGAUGGAGAAAGGGUACCGAUUGGAUCAAUCCGGUUCAAUUCCGUUUCAUACUCCUAACUUGAGAAGGACGAGGCCUCGCUCACCGGUUCAUCGUUUCCAGCCACAGCAAAUGAAAAUACACAAGGAAUCGUUUUUAACACCAUCCGGAAGGAGCUGGAACGGGCCGGUAUGUUUGAAAAAACAUCACCAGCCAAUCGAAGAUUAUUCACCAGGCCCUUUUUCUCCACCCCUCACCCCGUUAAAAAUAGCAGACUAGCGAUGAUAGUAUUGGCCAUCCCGCAGGAGCUCUUUUUCUUAUAAGGUUUGGUUUGCGCUCGCGGGGGAACUUUACUUCUGCUACCAGGUGAUUCGGCUGCUGUUGGUGUAAAGCUGGUGGCAAUUUCAACUAUUCGGUUGAUUUUUUUUAAUUUUUUUAGGAAUCAAAUAAAUAAGAAUAUUUAAUUGGAAAA